AGCUUCUCUGUUAUUCAGGUCAUGGAACUCAGAGUCCCGCCUCCCUGUAGCUUGUUUGCAGGAUAUUUUGUCGAACCUGUUAUUCAAAGUUUUGUCGUUUGGUUGCCUCCUCGAUUGCGACGUCUAAAAGCAAUCAGCAGGAAGGCCUGAUUCAUGCUGCUGUCAAGAUCCUAAUUCACACCUCACAGCUAUUUAAGGGUCAGGAGGUGGCGGAGCACGUCCCAGCCUCGGUCGGACAGAAGGCUGGAAAAUGCCCCCUGACAAGAAAACCUGUUCGAGUGGACUAACACGCAUAAACCCUCGCGUGUGCUCACAUACGCAUCUGUGGACAUUCUGUCGUCAACAAUCAACCUAACAUGCAUGAAUUUGAACCAUGGCAGGUAACUGGGGCAGCCGGAGGAAUCCCAGGAGUGUGGAUUCCACUUGCUCUUUGCACCGGUUUUAAACGCUGAGCCAAAAUGCUGCAAGAUACAAACACUGUUUUUUAAUGAACAAAUGCUUCAUUAUACUCAGGAUUCGUUAAUGCAAUUUCAUUUUCAAUCAUACGGGAAAAAGGC
Gasterosteus aculeatus aculeatus (three-spined stickleback) is the source of this 557-nucleotide long non-coding RNA. Lineage: Eukaryota; Metazoa; Chordata; Actinopteri; Perciformes; Gasterosteidae. The record is from Ensembl.